Molecule: ribosomal RNA, 396 nt
Filed under: uncultured bacterium
Lineage: Bacteria
Description: bacterial SSU rRNA
Rfam family: Bacterial small subunit ribosomal RNA
Source: RNAcentral
AUUGAACGCUGGCGGCAUGCCUUACACAUGCAAGUCGAACGGUAACGCGGGGCAACCUGGCGACGAGUGGCGAACGGGUGAGUAAAGCAUCGGAACGUGCCCAGUAGUGGGGGAUAGCCCGGCGAAAGCCGGAUUAAUACCGCAUACGACCUAAGGGUGAAAGGGGGGGAUCGCAAGACCUCUCGCUAUUGGAGCGGCCGAUGUCAGAUUAGCUAGUUGGUGGGGUAAAAGCUCACCAAGGCGACGAUCUGUAGCUGGUCUGAGAGGACGACCAGCCACACUGGGACUGAGACACGGCCCAGACUCCUACGGGAGGCAGCAGUGGGGAAUUUUGGACAAUGGGGGGCAACCCUGAUCCAGCAAUGCCGCGUGUGCGAAGAAGGCCUCGGUUGUAAG